GUGUCAGCCGCCGCGGUAAUACGUAGGUGGCAAGCGUUGUCCGGAAUUACUGGGCGUAAAGCGCGUGUAGGCGGUUUUUUAAGUGAGAUGUGAAAUCCCACGGCUUAACUUGGGGGCUGCAUUUGAAACUGGAUGACUUGAGUGCAGGAGAGGAAAGCAGAAUUCCUAGUGUAGCGGUGAAAUGCGUAGAGAUUUGGAGGAACACCAGUGGCGAAGGCGGCUUUCUGGACUGUAACUGACGCUGAGGCGUGAAAGCGUGGGGAGCAAACAGGAUUAGAUCCCCUGGUAGUCCACGCCGUAAACGAUGAGUGCUAAGUGUUGGGGGGAU
RNAcentral lists this ribosomal RNA (328 nucleotides) under uncultured bacterium. Its description in RNAcentral is "bacterial SSU rRNA". It matches the Rfam family "Bacterial small subunit ribosomal RNA", at positions 505 to 832 of the family's 1533-position model. The record is from RNAcentral.